CUGGAGGAAAUUGUGAUUCAUGGCUUAAAUGAAAGAGUGAUGAUCACCCUACCCUCAGAUGGUCAUGUGGCCCUCUCUUCCAGAUGAAAUCAACCUGAGCAUUUGAGAAUGGGCAUCCUGGCUGAGGCAGCCGUGGUGGAAAUCAGAGACUCCAGGAUUGCCAUCACAAGUUCUGAAUCCAGGUUAACUACUAGUGUCUUCCCACUCACAGAACCAGGCAACAAAGAAGUCUGUGGCGUCCACAGGAGGGAAACAAAGCAAAACGAAGCGCCGACCAGUGCGGUACUAUUAAUUCAAAUUAAUGACCCUCACCUACAAAUAAAGCUGGUGCCUGGCAGGUCGCUGGCUCUUGGAGAGCUGCAAUGAGAACAAACGUGGCUUUGCCGUCUGGCCAGGCAAUCGAUGCCUCCUGCCUGUCCCUGGCCGCCCCGCACCCACCUCUUACAGAUGUUACCUGUCUCCUGUUAAUUCUCCCGUGUCACUCUCCACUUCCCCGGUGGGGGUGGGGGGGGGGCGGUCAAGGGUUGACCUGGAGGGUGGGCUUAUUUCAUAAGAAAGGCCGAUUGAAAGGGCCCAGAUGCAAAGUCACACUGCUCUGCUGAGCUGGGAGGACACCCCACUGAGAGACGUGUCUGAAAUGGGUGGAGGUCUCUGGGCAUCACUGGCAGGGGUGGGUGCCUGACUGUCAUUUAGGGACAUUUCUGCCUUGAUCUGUUGCUCUUAUUUAUCUCUGCCAAAAUAAAGAUGUGUUUGAUGAUAAAGACUUCUUUUAUUCAGCCUCUCAGUUAUUCCAGCACGGUAGUUAGAGAUGAAUACAACGUUGCCCUUAAGCUACAACCUGAUCUUCACAAAAACCCUUUGAAGAAG
RNAcentral lists this long non-coding RNA (867 nucleotides) under Homo sapiens (human). Its description in RNAcentral is "HSALNT0183730". The record is from RNAcentral. Lineage: Eukaryota; Metazoa; Chordata; Mammalia; Primates; Hominidae.